ACUCAAAUGAAUAGACGGGGACCCACACAAGCGGUGGAGCAUGGGGUUUAAUUCGAUGGUAAACGAAGAACCUCACCCAGGCUUGACAUCCUAGAAAGAUAGUCGAAAGAUUGUCGUGCCGCAAGGAAUCUAGAGACAGGCGAUGCACGGUCGUCGUCAGCUCGUGCCUUGAGGUGUACUGUUAAGUCAGCGAACGAGCGCAACCCUCAUCCUAUGUUGUUUUUUCAUGGGAGACUGCCGCCUCCAAGGCGGAGGAAGGUGGGGAUGACGUCAGAUCAGCGUGUCCUUUAUGCCUGGGGCAACACCCAUGCUACAAUGGUCGGUACAGAGGGCAGCGAACCCGUCAGGGGGAGCAAAUCCCACAAAACCGAUCUCAGUUCGGAUUGCCGGCUGCAACUCGCCGGCAUGAAGUUGGAAUCGCUAGUAACCGUAGGUCAGCGAUACUACGGUGAAUACGUUCCUGGGUCUUGUACACACCGCCCGU
This 484-nucleotide ribosomal RNA is filed under the name uncultured bacterium. Its description in RNAcentral is "partial 16S ribosomal RNA". It matches the Rfam family "Bacterial small subunit ribosomal RNA", at positions 899 to 1397 of the family's 1533-position model. The record is from RNAcentral.